AUGCAGUUUUGUAUUUGUUAUGUUUAUUAAGAUAAUAUAUAGUGUCUUUGUAAACAUCAAUAGUGAGAAAUUGAUAUAUUUUAGGCAUUUCCAACUUCUGACUAUUAUUACUUAUAACGAUGAGGUUCAAGACCAAAUCCCAUGAUGAGUCAAGGACUAUCUUUAUUUAAAAAUAAAAUAAUUAUAUAUACAUGUAUUCCUCACUUAAAGACUUACCUGCUUAACGACUGUUCGAACUUACAUCCAAGCUUAAGACUUUUUUUAACAGAAAAUUUGGUUUUCACUCAUAUGUGUCACUUACAACUUCUAUUGCAUGUAAUUCCUUGCACUCAUAGUUCUAAAAAUCUGAUGAAGAAAAAUACUUUGUGCCUGAUUAAGAUAUAAAUGUCUUUACAGCCAUGAGAACAUAAGUGAGUAACUUGUUCUAAAUGUAUACAAACAAGUUAUUCGUCGACCAGUUCAUUGUACGACAAGCCAUGAGAACGGAACUUGGUCGUUAAGUGAGAAGUACCUGGACAUACAUAUAUAAAAUAGAUCAUCAAUAUCAAUUCUGAAUAAAGAAAAACUGUUAAAUUCAAUGCGGAUUGAUGGCAAGCAGCACAUCAAAUUUUAUUUAAGAGAUAUGUAAUCUACUCAGAAAUUUACCCUUUUAAAAAUGAAAAACUAAAAUGUAAGGAAAAGAGAGAAAAUCUGCCAUAAAUGUGGCAAAUCAAUAAAAGAAAAGAGAGGAGAUACUUCAGGUGUUUUUUUAUGGCAGGAAUAUGAGACAAUGAAUGAAUUUUUCCUCUAUUAAAGGAUGAGUAUUCAGAUAACCAGAUACAAAAUAGAAAUGCAAAAUCAAACCUGUUUAAAAAGUUUUGUGUUUUACUCAUAAUAGAAAGCUGAAUUGUUAUAUUUGCCAAUCACCAGAAUUACAAAUCUAAUUCUAAGAAAAAAAUAUAUAAUUAUUAAAUAUUGCUAAAAGCAUAGUUUUUUCCCCACUUACAAGGAGAGGGCGCAAAGGCCGGAAAACGGAUUGGAACGAAACUUGUU
Molecule: long non-coding RNA, 1032 nt
Filed under: Androctonus crassicauda
Lineage: Eukaryota; Metazoa; Arthropoda; Arachnida; Scorpiones; Buthidae
Source: RNAcentral